Paramisgurnus dabryanus is the source of this 800-nucleotide long non-coding RNA. RefSeq lists it as uncharacterized. NCBI's taxonomy places the organism in Eukaryota, Metazoa, Chordata, Actinopteri, Cypriniformes, Cobitidae. The record is from RefSeq and is a predicted model, not a curated record.
CUCGACAUCAGCGGCCCGUCACGAGGCGCUUCACAUCCUGAUGAUGAUUGAUAAUGCGGAGAUUUUCACACGACGCCGAUUGAUUUUGUCUGUGAGGUUUUCAUACGACUGCCAUCACUGAGGCUUCAAACUAUCUGUAGAGACACAUGGUUACGGGGUUAAGAUGGUGCAUGGAGAUCUGGCAUACUUCAAAAAGAGCAACAACCAGAGGACAAAAGUUUGACCCCAACCCUGCCGAGCACUUUUUGGGGUUCACAGCGCAGGUGACCUCUGGGGUGAUACAGUGACAUCCUCAACUCUUUAUCAUCAAAGAGAUCUGCAGGGGGGCGGAGUUGAGACACGACGCAUCACAAUGAAGAUCCACCUACAUUCUUCCAGUCCUGCUCCUCACUUUCCUCAAGUAUGCGAAUAUGAAUGACCUCUCACCUCUCUCUGUGACCUCUUCAUCACUUUACCCUGCUACAGUCAUUUUGUCACCUGAAAAUUAUUGGUUUACAUUUCAGUUGACAUUAUCUCAUUUUUCCUCUCAUAAGAUUAUUUUUUUAAGAUUUAAAUAGUGUUAUUAGGAUUUGCAUGGCAAAAAGAAUCUUUACACUGCCAAAGCAUUGAAAUAUAAACUGUACAUAUUUACAAACAAAUACAUGUAAAAAAUUAAACGGUAUAAUCUAUAAAACGUAUAAAAAGAUUAUUAAUAAGAAACUCAAUGAAAUACAGUUUUAGUCGUGGUUUUGUCAUUCUUUUGUCACGACAGGACUUGAUGUACCUCACAGUCAGGAUUGAGCCUAAUGGGUUUUUUUCAG